AACGAACGCUGGCGGCAGGCCUAACACAUGCAAGUCGAACGCUCUAGCAAUAGAGAGUGGCAGACGGGUGAGUAACGCGUGGGAAUCUUCCUGGUGGUGCGGAAUAACUCGCCGAAAGGCGAGCUAAUACCGCAUAAGCCCGCAAGGGGGAAANAUUUAUCGCCAUCAGAUGGGCCCGNGUAGGAUUAGCUAGUUGGUGAGGUCAUGGCUCACCAAGGCGACGAUCCUUAGCUGGUUUGAGAGAAUGACCAGCCACACUGGGACUGAGACACGGCCCAGACU
Molecule: ribosomal RNA, 282 nt
Filed under: uncultured bacterium
Lineage: Bacteria
Description: partial 16S ribosomal RNA
Rfam family: Bacterial small subunit ribosomal RNA
Source: RNAcentral